RNAcentral lists this ribosomal RNA (2930 nucleotides) under Proteus vulgaris. RNAcentral describes it as "23S ribosomal RNA". It matches the Rfam family "Bacterial large subunit ribosomal RNA". The record is from RNAcentral. Lineage: Bacteria; Pseudomonadati; Pseudomonadota; Gammaproteobacteria; Enterobacterales; Morganellaceae.
GGGUUGUGAGGUUAAGCGAAUAAGCGUACACGGUGGAUGCCUAGGCAAUCAGAGGCGAUGAAGGACGUGCUAAUCUGCGAUAAGCGUCGGUAAGGUGAUAUGAACCGUUAUACCCGACGAUUUCCGAAUGGGGAAACCCAAUAUCCAAUGGAUAUUAUCAUGACGUGAAUACAUAGCGUCAUGAAGCGAACCGGGAGAACUGAAACAUCUCAGUACCCCGAGGAAAAGAAAUCAACCGAGAUUCCCCUAGUAGCGGCGAGCGAACGGGGAACAGCCCAGAGUCUUAAUCAAUAGCAGCAUCAGGAGAACGGUCUGGAAAGUCCGGCAGUAAAGGGUGAUAGCCCCGUAUCUGAAGAUGCUGUUAUUGUGAACUCGACGAGUAGGGCGGGACACGUGUUAUCCUGUCUGAAUAUGGGGGGACCAUCCUCCAAGGCUAAAUACUCCUGAUUGACCGAUAGUGAACCAGUACCGUGAGGGAAAGGCGAAAAGAACCCCGGCGAGGGGAGUGAAAAAGAACCUGAAACCGUGUACGUACAAGCAGUAGGAGCCUCUUUAUGGGGUGACUGCGUACCUUUUGUAUAAUGGGUCAGCGACUUAUAUUCUGUAGCAAGGUUAACCGUAUAGGGGAGCCGUAGGGAAACCGAGUCUUAACUGGGCGAAUGAGUUGCAGGGUAUAGACCCGAAACCCGGUGAUCUAUCCAUGGGCAGGUUGAAGGUUGGGUAACACUAACUGGAGGACCGAACCGACUAAUGUUGAAAAAUUAGCGGAUGACUUGUGGAUGGGGGUGAAAGGCCAAUCAAACCGGGAGAUAGCUGGUUCUCCCCGAAAGCUAUUUAGGUAGCGCCUCGUGAACUCAUCUUCGGGGGUAGAGCACUGUUUCGACUAGGGGGUCAUCCCGACUUACCAACUCGAUGCAAACUGCGAAUACCGAAGAAUGUUAUCACGGGAGACACACGGCGGGUGCUAACGUCCGUCGUGAAGAGGGAAACAACCCAGACCGCCAGCUAAGGUCCCAAAGUCAUGGUUAAGUGGGAAACGAAGUGGGAAGGCUCAGACAGCCAGGAUGUUGGCUUAGAAGCAGCCAUCAUUUAAAGAAAGCGUAAUAGCUCACUGGUCGAGUCGGCCCGCGCGGAAGAUGUAACGGGGCUAAACCAUGCACCGAAGCUGCGGCAGCGACACUAUGUGUUGUUGGGUAGGGGAGCGUUCUGUAAGCCUGCGAAGGUGUACUGUGAGGUAUGCUGGAGGUAUCAGAAGUGCGAAUGCUGACAUAAGUAACGAUAAUGCGGGUGAAAAACCCGCACGCCGGAAGACCAAGGGUUCCUGUCCAACGUUAAUCGGGGCAGGGUGAGUCGACCCCUAAGGCGAGGCUGAAAAGCGUAGUCGAUGGGAAACGGGUUAAUAUUCCCGUACUGGUGGUAACUGCGAUGGGGGAACGGAGAAGGCUAGGUUGUCCGGGCGACGGUCGUCCCGGUUCAAGCAUGUAGGCAGAGUGAUUAGGCAAAUCCGGUCACUUAAUGCUGAGGUGUGAUGACGAGCCACUAAGGUGGUGAAGCAAUUGAUGCCCUGCUUCCAGGAAAAGCCUCUAAGCUUCAGGUUACCAACAAUCGUACCCCAAACCGACACAGGUGGUCAGGUAGAGAAUACUCAGGCGCUUGAGAGAACUCGGGUGAAGGAACUAGGCAAAAUGGUGCCGUAACUUCGGGAGAAGGCACGCUGGCGGUAAGUGAAGUCCCUCGCGGACGGAGCCGAAGCCAGUCGAAGAUACCAGCUGGCUGCAACUGUUUAUUAAAAACACAGCACUGUGCAAACACGAAAGUGGACGUAUACGGUGUGACGCCUGCCCGGUGCUGGAAGGUUAAUUGAUGGGGUUAUCCGUAAGGAGAAGCUCUUGAUCGAAGCCCCAGUAAACGGCGGCCGUAACUAUAACGGUCCUAAGGUAGCGAAAUUCCUUGUCGGGUAAGUUCCGACCUGCACGAAUGGCGUAAUGAUGGCCAGGCUGUCUCCACCCGAGACUCAGUGAAAUUGAACUCGCUGUGAAGAUGCAGUGUACCCGCGGCAAGACGGAAAGACCCCGUGAACCUUUACUAUAGCUUGACACUGAACAUUGAGCCUUGAUGUGUAGGAUAGGUGGGAGACUUUGAAGUGUGGACGCCAGUCUGCAUGGAGUCAACCUUGAAAUACCACCCUUUAACGUUUGAUGUUCUAACCUAGGUCCAUAAUCUGGAUCGGGGACCGUGUCUGGUGGGUAGUUUGACUGGGGCGGUCUCCUCCUAAAGAGUAACGGAGGAGCACGAAGGUUGGCUAAGCAUGGUCGGACAUCAUGCGGUUAGUGCAAAGGCAUAAGCCAGCUUGACUGUGAGAGUGACGGCUCGAGCAGGUACGAAAGUAGGUCUUAGUGAUCCGGUGGUUCUGAAUGGAAGGGCCAUCGCUCAACGGAUAAAAGGUACUCCGGGGAUAACAGGCUGAUACCGCCCAAGAGUUCAUAUCGACGGCGGUGUUUGGCACCUCGAUGUCGGCUCAUCACAUCCUGGGGCUGAAGUAGGUCCCAAGGGUAUGGCUGUUCGCCAUUUAAAGUGGUACGCGAGCUGGGUUUAGAACGUCGUGAGACAGUUCGGUCCCUAUCUGCCGUGGGCGUUGGAAGAUUGAGAGGGGUUGCUCCUAGUACGAGAGGACCGGAGUGAACGCACCACUGGUGUUCGGGUUGUCAUGCCAAUGGCAUUGCCCGGUAGCUAAGUGCGGAAGAGAUAACCGCUGAAAGCAUCUAAGCGGGAAACUUGCCUCGAGAUGAGUCUUCCCUGUCACCUUGAGUGACCUAAAGGAACGUUUAAGACUAAGACGUUGAUAGGCUGGGUGUGUAAGCGUAGCGAUACGUUGAGCUAACCAGUACUAAUGAACCGUGAGGCUUAACCUGACAACACCGAAGGUGUUU